GGGUGGUCAGCGUGGGAGAUGGGUUCCUUGUUGAUGUCGACACGCCGCAUCACUGCUCCUCGCUGGACGAGGUGGUGCAGUACUUCGUGAAGCAGAGCAAAGGCAGCCUGCAGCCCCUGCACCGGGAGUACAGCAUGACGCUGGAGUUCGUGGAAGCAGAUGCUAAAAGCUCGGAGGUGACACGGCGGCCAUGCAAACCUCCCCCCUGCCCCCCCGCCC
Lagopus muta (rock ptarmigan) is the source of this 219-nucleotide long non-coding RNA. RefSeq lists it as uncharacterized. The transcript has 3 exons. The record is from RefSeq and is a predicted model, not a curated record. Lineage: Eukaryota; Metazoa; Chordata; Aves; Galliformes; Phasianidae.